AGCUAAAGAGGAUAAAGCCGGCUGUGGAGAAAUUUUGAGAGAUUUAGAGGGGAUUGCAAGAGGGAUAUUCUCUGGUGCUGCAGGUACAAAUAUUGCUGAGGAAGCUGAGAUUGAAGCGGUGAAAAUUGCUCUCGAAGUGUUUGAAUCGACAAGCUAGAAGUGUUCUAAUUCACUGGUAAUUGAAGUAGGCUCCGCGGUGGUGUUUUCUUGGUGUAUCAACAAGGGGUUGAGACCUUGGUGUGCAAGGUUGGAUCCAUUGUUUUCUCUUUGAUAGAUAGGAAUGGAAACGACCUGGCGUUCUCAUUGGCUUUGACUGGGGUAAAUAGUACUCAAAUGUUUAAAGCUUGGUGGUGAUUUUUGUUUUGUUUAAUACUUUAUUGCUGCUGGAACUAUGCAUUAAUUUUUGCUAUAUUUUUAUUUUUUGGAUACUAUUUUGCUUUGUUCCUAUCAACUGAGCAGUGUGAAUGUAGCAAAAAAAAGAAAAAAGAAAAGAGAGGGUACAACCUUAUCUACUCCAGUUAUCACUACGACAAAUAGUUUAUUUGUCAUAUUUGUAAGUUGACAAUUUUUGAAAUUUGAUAUUGUGGAAGUAUUCAAGCCUAUUAAUGAAAAUUAAUUUAUUUGGAGUAACACAUCUUAAAGAUUGGAUGAGUUCAGGUUGGAUCAUACAAAACAAAUCCCUUGGAUCAAAGAUGUUGGAUCGAGACAAACUUGGAAGGCUUAUCUCAAGCACUUCAAUUUACAUUGGUCUUUAAAAUUAUAUUGUAUAUUGUUAUUUUAGAUGUUGUUUAAUAUGGAACUGAAUGUAAUUGAUCUCUACUAUGUUAGCAAGUCUUGAAUUUUUAUAUAAUGAGAGACUUGUAUAGAUUUUGUAACGAAACUAAGAAAGCACUUAUUUAGUCAAUUGGGAACAUUUUUGUGAGAGUGCGUUUGAGAGAAUAAAACCUUUUGUUGUUGGGUUUUACAGCCUGAGUUCUCAUGGAGAGAACUUAGAGGUGAGAGAUCUAGUAUUUAGAUACAAAUGUGAGGUUGCUAUAGUGGAGUGUGAUAGGACUUAAAUCACUUCUUGUAUUGGGAUUAAAGAUAAUAGAUUCUUCUUACUAAGCUAGACUCCGUAAAUAUAAGAAAAUUGAAUUGCACAAACAAUUCAUUGUCUCUUUUUUUUUUAUUCUAUUUUACAUAGUUUCAUCUGAAGUGCCCACUUUUACUAUCCC
This 1214-nucleotide long non-coding RNA is filed under the name Gossypium barbadense (sea-island cotton). RNAcentral describes it as "long non-coding RNA (GBAR_LNC008712)". The record is from RNAcentral. Lineage: Eukaryota; Viridiplantae; Streptophyta; Magnoliopsida; Malvales; Malvaceae.